RNAcentral lists this unclassified non-coding RNA (299 nucleotides) under uncultured bacterium. RNAcentral describes it as "partial contains 16S ribosomal RNA and 16S-23S ribosomal RNA intergenic spacer region". It matches the Rfam family "Bacterial small subunit ribosomal RNA", at positions 20 to 309 of the family's 1533-position model. The record is from RNAcentral.
UGGCUCAGAACGAACGCUGGCGGCGUGCCUAAUACAUGCAAGUCGAGCGAACUUGCGGGAGCUUGCUCCCAAAAGUUAGCGGCGGACGGGUGAGUAACACGUGGGCAACCUGCCUAUAAGACUGGGAUAACUUCGGGAAACCGGAGCUAAUACCGGAUAAUUCUUUUCUACUCAUGUAGAAAAGCUAAAAGACGGCUUACGCUGUCACUUAUAGAUGGGCCCGCGGCGCAUUAGCUAGUUGGUGAGGUAACGGCUCACCAAGGCCAGGAUGAGUAGCCGACCUGAGAGGGUGAUCGGCC